Molecule: ribosomal RNA, 246 nt
Filed under: uncultured Synergistaceae bacterium
Lineage: Bacteria; Thermotogati; Synergistota; Synergistia; Synergistales; Synergistaceae
Description: partial 16S ribosomal RNA
Rfam family: Bacterial small subunit ribosomal RNA
Source: RNAcentral
CACUCUGGAAGGACUGCCAUCGACAAGAUGAGGAAGUGGGGAUGACGUCAAGUCAUCAUGGCCCUUAUGUCCAGGGCGACACACGUGCUACAAUGGCCGGCACAACGGGAAGCGAGUUCGCGAGGACGAGCGGAUCCCUUAAAGCCGGUCGCAGUUCGGAUUGAAGUCUGCAACUCGACUUCAUGAAGCUGGAAUCGCUAGUAAUCGUGGAUCAGCCAAGCCGCGGUGAAUACGUUCCCGGGCCUU